AGUGAACGCUGGCGGCAGGCCUAACACACGCAAGUCGAGCGGCGGCGCGGGGCAACCUGGCGGCGAGCGGCGGACGGGUGAGGAAUGCAUCGGAAUCCACCCUGUCGUGGGGGAUAACGUAGGGAAACUUACGCUAAUACCGCAUACGACCGAGAGGUGAAAGUGGGGGACCUUCGGGCCUCACGCGAUUGGAUGAGCCG
RNAcentral lists this ribosomal RNA (200 nucleotides) under uncultured bacterium. Its description in RNAcentral is "partial 16S ribosomal RNA". It matches the Rfam family "Bacterial small subunit ribosomal RNA", at positions 28 to 232 of the family's 1533-position model. The record is from RNAcentral.